Molecule: ribosomal RNA, 657 nt
Filed under: Triticum aestivum (bread wheat)
Lineage: Eukaryota; Viridiplantae; Streptophyta; Magnoliopsida; Poales; Poaceae
Description: partial small subunit ribosomal RNA
Source: RNAcentral
AUGGUGCGGGGGAAGACGGAGAUGAAGCGGAUAGAGAACGCGACGAGCCGGCAGGUGACCUUCUCCAAGCGCAGGAACGGGCUACUCAAGAAGGCCUUCGAGCUCUCAGUGCUCUGCGACGCCGAGGUUGCGCUCGUCGUCUUCUCCCCUCGCGGCAGGCUCUACGAGUUCGCCAGCGCCACCAGCAUGCAGAAAUCGAUUGACCGUUAUAAGGCUUAUACAAAGGAUACUGUUAACAACAAGACACAAGUCAAAGCUGAUGCUCUAAGCUUGGCAAAGAAACUUGAAGCUCUUGAAGAUACGAAGCGAAAGAUCUUGGGCGAAAAUUUAGGAGGAUGCUCUACUGAAGAACUGCAUUUUCUGGAAGGAAAAAUUGAGAAGAGUCUCCGCGUCAUCAGAGGAAAGAAGACCCAGCUGCUCGAACAGCAGAUAGCUAAACUGAAAGAGAAGGAGAGGACGCUUCUCAAAGACAACGAAGACUUGCGCGGAAAGCAGCGCAACCUUGAGGCGCCGCUGUUGCUUUCUGCCCCGAACUGCGUCGCACCUCUGCAGCCAGAGCAGGAGCCGGUACCGAGGGACGAGGACGUGGAGACGGAGCUCUACAUUGGGUUGCCCGGGGUUCGCUGCUCCAGCCGGCGGUCAGGUCAAGCCAAAUAG